RNAcentral lists this ribosomal RNA (1466 nucleotides) under uncultured Bordetella sp. Its description in RNAcentral is "partial 16S-23S ribosomal RNA intergenic spacer". It matches the Rfam family "Bacterial small subunit ribosomal RNA". Lineage: Bacteria; Pseudomonadati; Pseudomonadota; Betaproteobacteria; Burkholderiales; Alcaligenaceae. The record is from RNAcentral.
AGUUCGAUCCUGGCUCAGAUUGAACGCUGGCGGAUGCUCUUCACAUGUCGAACGGCAGCACGGACUUCGGUCUGGUGGCGAGUGGCGAACGGGUGAGUAAUGUAUCGGAACGUGCCUAGUAGCGGGGGUAACUACGCGAAAGCGUAGCUAAUACCGUACACAACGCCCUUCUUCGGGGGAAAGUGGGGACCUUCGGGCCUCGCACUAUUAGAGCGGCCGAUAUCGGAUUAGCUAGUUGGUGGGGGUAACGGCUCACCAGCGACGAUCCGUAGCUGGUUUGAGAGGACGACCAGCCACACUGGGACUGAGACACGGCCCAGACUCUACGUGGAGGCAGCAGUGGGGAAUUUAACAAUGGGGAAACCCUGAUCCAGCCAUCCCGCGUGUGCGAUGAAUACUUUCGGGUUGUGUACACUUUUGGCAGGAAAGAAACGGCACUGAUAACACCUCAAAAAACUGACGGUACCUGCAGAAUAAGCACCGGCUACUGCGCCAGCAGCCGCGGUAAUACGUAGGUGCAAGCGUUAAUCGGAAUUACUGGGCGUAAAGCAGGUUCGGAAGCAGAUGUGAAAUCCCAGAGCUUAACUUUGGAACUGCAUUUUUAACUACCGAGCUAGAGUGUGUCAGAGGGAGGAAUCUCCGCGUGUAGCAGCAAGGGAAAUGCGUAGAUAUGCGGAGGAACACCGAUGGCGAAGGCAGCCUCCUGGGAUAACACUGACGCUCAUGCACGAAAGCGUGGGGAGCAAACAGGAUUAGAUACCCUGGUAGUCCACGCCCUAAACGAUGUCAACUAGCUGUUGGGGCUUCGGGGCCUCGGUAGCAGCUAACGCGUGAAGUUGACCGCCUGGGGAGUACGGUCGCAAGAUUAAACUCAAAGGAAUUGACGGGGACCCGCACAAGCGGUGGAUGAUGUGGAUUAAUUCGAUGCAACGCGAAAACCUUACCUACCUCUCGCUGACAUGUCUGGAAUCCCGAAGAGAUUUGGGAGUGCUCGCAAGAGAACCGGAACACAGGUGCUGCAUGGCUGUCGUCAGUCGUGUCGUGAGAUGUUGGGUUAAGUCCCGCAACGAGCGCAACCCUUGUCAUUAGUUGCUACGAAAGGGCACUCUAGAUGAGACCGCUGGUGACAAACCGCAAGAGAAGGUGGGAUGACGUCAAGUCCUCAUGGCCCUUGCGGGUAGGGCUUCACACGUCAUACAAUGGUCGGGACAGAGGGUCGCCAACCCGCGAGGGGGAGCCAAUCCCAGAAACCCGAUCGUAGUCCGAUCGCAGUCUGCAACUCGGACUGCGUGAAGUCGGAAUCGCUAGUAAUCGUGAUCAGCACGUCGCAGAAUAUGUUCCCGGCCUCGGUACACACCGCCCGUCACACCAUGGGAGUGGGUUUUACCAGAAGUAGCUAGCCUAACCGUAAGGAGGGCGAUUACCACGGUAGGAUUCAUGACUGGGGUGAAGUCGCAACAAGGCAA